UAGCAAUUCUCGAUCUAUUUUUGUAUUAUUAAACAAGUAGCUCAAGUAAGGUUUACAGUAAACACACGUGGAUGUGGACGUGGGAAUGUGGGUAAAAAAUCAUACAAUAUAGUUGGCAAUGCAACUACUAAAGCCUAUCGUAGUCGGAUAAUGAUUAUUAGUCCCUCCAUUCCAAAUUAAGGGACAGUGACCGCAUGCAGAAAAGAUGAUUAAUAUAGAUGGACACAGUGACUGUCAGCAAAAAUAUUUAUUACAGCGCCAUGAAGAUCGAAAGAGUCUUUUAAUCUCUGUAGCCACCCACUUGGAGACAUCAGCCUUAGAUUUCUUUGGUUCUAAUGGAUGGCUGCAUCAAAGACUUGUUGGUUUCGCUUAGACAAGAAUAUGUUCUUGUUACCUAGCGUGU
RNAcentral lists this long non-coding RNA (403 nucleotides) under Sorghum bicolor (sorghum). RNAcentral's name for it is "long non-coding RNA (SBIC_LNC001962)". The record is from RNAcentral. Lineage: Eukaryota; Viridiplantae; Streptophyta; Magnoliopsida; Poales; Poaceae.